UCCAGGGGGGGGUGAGUGUGGUGUAAAUUAAAAAUAAAAUCAACAAAACAAAACGAAACGAAAAAAACAUCUGGACAUUUGAAAACCAAUAUCAAUAUCAGACAAUUAAAAUAGAAAUCAAGCGAUUACUAACAGCCAGUUCCACGAUAUCGAAAGAACACGUUCGCACAACUUUUACACGACAAACAGCUGAUUUCCGUUCCACUAAAAUCUAUCAGAACGAAAAUUUCGAACGAAAACGUAAGCAUUUCAGUGUAAUUUUGCGUUCCACUAUCUUUUUUCUUUCGUACGCAUGCGAACACAAAUGUCAAAAUCAGUCACUUGUGUGUUUGCUAUCGUAUAAUAACAAUUAAGGAAAAUUGUUUUAACAUAAACAUUGCUUGAUUGAAAAUGGAAACAAAAAUCACGAAAAAAUCAUCAACUACACAGCCGCGGGCACUAGUUGAGUGAAUGGAGGAGAAUCCUGUGUUCGCCAGAGGAAUGCCAAUUUUUGGAAGCAGCAGAAGAAGUUUUAAAUCGGGGCGGAUUUGGGUAGUUCUGCAACCGGGCACCCACUUCUCUUCCAUCAUAUCCAAAAGAGCCCGAAAACUUCCUUCGACACACGAAAGUUGGCCACAAACCUAGAAAAAAUCAUUUUUUAUUAUUUCAAAAAUGUAAAAAUACAAUCAUACUUACUGGUUGUUAGGUACUUCAAAUAAAUUCGAAGCAUCUCUUAAA
Molecule: long non-coding RNA, 717 nt
Organism: Musca domestica (house fly)
Lineage: Eukaryota; Metazoa; Arthropoda; Insecta; Diptera; Muscidae
Exons: 2
Source: RefSeq, a predicted model, not a curated record